Long non-coding RNA from Bombus terrestris (buff-tailed bumblebee), 1376 nucleotides. RefSeq lists it as uncharacterized. The record is from RefSeq and is a predicted model, not a curated record. Lineage: Eukaryota; Metazoa; Arthropoda; Insecta; Hymenoptera; Apidae. The transcript is spliced from 2 exons.
AUCACUACAGUGGAUUUUGCUUAUAGUUGAGCACUUCUGGCAACGUAUGCGUCACUUAUCUUCUGUUUCUAAACGAAGGUUGGGCGACUUUAAAGGCCUUAUACACAACGUACAUAUACUCGGCUGCAAGAGUCUGUUAUAAUUUUAUAGCUUAUAACUCAAUUAAAAGUAAAUAUUAUCAAUGUAUUGGGUUUAGGUUAGGGGUUAGGCAGCCGAAGAAAUUAAUUGAGUUAUAACGCACAUUUUUUGCAGUCUCACAUAUGUGGUUGGGGCUUUUAAGCUUUUCCGACUCUGGUUUGUAAACAGAAGAUAAGUGGUCGGCGGCCAACAACUAACUGAUGUAUACGCUGCCACAAACGCACAUCUUGGCAAAAGUACAUCGUAAUUGUGCAGUUUUUCUUGAAAAUUAAGCGAGUUAUACAUAUAACAUAUGCAUUCCUUAUACAUAUAGGAGAAAGUUUUUCAAAAUGUUGUUUUACAACAUGUUCAAAAAUCAUUGAAAUCGUAGGAUAAUUAACAUUUUUAUAGUUUCAUCAAGAAACAAAAAAAGUACAGAAUAUAGCAAUCAUUUAUACAAACAUCACUGAAACUUUGAUAUAAUUAAAUAAAUUAUAUUAUUACGAAAAGUUAAUGUAUACAAACCUGCAAUUCUCGUUCUGUAUAUUCCGGUAUGGAGACCAGAAAAAAAAAAUGAUGAAAGAAGAAACGAAAAUGUUCAAGAAGCUGGUAUGAAAAUGAUCGAGAAACGAACAAUAUGUAUUCUGUAUGUAAAUGUUUGUCUCAAUGGUUCUCAUUUCCUCCUGUUAUAAUACAUAAUAUAUUUUUUUUUCUUUUUAUGACGUAAUCUUAUUUCUACUUUAUAAAUCCUAGUAUAAGUCACUAGAAAUUAAAAGUUAGUAUAAAAACAUAUCAAUGUACUAAAUGAAAUUAUAAAUAUUGUGUUUUCGUAACGAACAUACGAUUUCUAAAUUUCGUAAAUUAUAUGCAAAUAUAAAAUGAAAAACAUAUAAUUCUGUAUCAUGAGACAAAAACAAUUUGCACGAUUGAAAUUAAUUAAAAAAUAACGUUUAACAAGCAUAAACGAUUAUUAACGAUUAAUGAAGAACAAAACUUAUGUUCGCUAUUAAAAAAUUCUAGUGUUUCAUAAUUAUCAACAAGAUUUCUCAACAUUUGUCGCAACUAAAACAAAAUUCAGCCACAUUUCUUAAAUAAAAUUAGAGGACUAAGAACCACUGAUACUGGAAAAAAACUUACCUUAACCAGGCCUCUGGGCUGAUUCAUCACGACAUUCGCCUCUGGGUUCUGGUUCCGCUACAAUACAACAACAACGUAAACAAAACCGCUAAUCUAUCGUAUUCUAAAAAAAAAAGGCAGAC